This is a non-coding RNA of Brachypodium distachyon (stiff brome), 135 nucleotides long. The record is from Rfam. Lineage: Eukaryota; Viridiplantae; Streptophyta; Magnoliopsida; Poales; Poaceae.
AAAAUACUCCCUCCGUCCAACAAAGGAUGUUUCAAUUUUGACUAAAUUUGAAUGCAUCUAUACACUAAGUUAUGUCUAGGUGCAUUCAAAUUUUGACAAACUUGAAAUAUUUUUUAUUGGACGAUGGAGCAGCAA